RNAcentral lists this long non-coding RNA (391 nucleotides) under Homo sapiens (human). RNAcentral's name for it is "HSALNT0158683". Lineage: Eukaryota; Metazoa; Chordata; Mammalia; Primates; Hominidae. The record is from RNAcentral.
AGGAAAAGGUUUAGCAUUCAUCUUGUGAUAAUAGAGCAUUUCUACUCAAAAGAAGGCUUAUUCCUACCUCUAACUUGCUAUUCUCUAUUGAGCAAUGAGUUGGAUGGCUUCAAAUUCUUCCAACUUGCAAACUGAAGCUUGGAGUUGGGUGAUGGUGUGACGGAUUGAGCAGGAAUUGAGGGCUGGGACUCUGAAGCGAGAAAUUGAGGGUCGGAUGUGGAGGUGAGGGUGAACUUGAUUCAUUCUCUUGUAUAUAUUCCUAAGAGAGAGACUCACUGUGAAAGGACACAUCACUAUAAAAUAAAGAGAAGGCCAAUGGUGAAGUGUUUGAAAGAUAAUUCAUUGUUCUAGUUGGUUAUUAAAAUAAAUGUGUCUCAUGAUAGAAUCCAGC